ACUCCUGCGGGAGGCAGCAGUGGGGAAUAUUGGACAAUGGGCGCAAGCCUGAUCCAGCCAUGCCGCGUGAGUGAUGAAGGCCCUAGGGUUGUAAAGCUCUUUCACCGGAGAAGAUAAUGACGGUAUCCGGAGAAGAAGCCCCGGCUAACUUCGUGCCAGCAGCCGCGGUAAUACGAAGGGGGCUAGCGUUGUUCGGAAUUACUGGGCGUAAAGCGCACGUAGGCGGAUCGAUCAGUCAGGGGUGAAAUCCCAGGGCUCAACCCUGGAACUGCCUUUGAUACUGUCGAUCUGGAGUAUGGAAGAGGUGAGUUGAAUUCCGAGUGUAGAGGUGAAAUUCGUAGAUAUUCGGAGGAACACCAGUGGCGAAGGCGGCUCACUGGUCCAUUACUGACGCUGAGGUGCGAAAGCGUGGGGAGCAAACAGGAUUAGAAACCCUUGUAGUCCCAUGAU
RNAcentral lists this ribosomal RNA (450 nucleotides) under uncultured organism. RNAcentral describes it as "partial 16S ribosomal RNA". It matches the Rfam family "Bacterial small subunit ribosomal RNA", at positions 335 to 801 of the family's 1533-position model. The record is from RNAcentral.